This 986-nucleotide long non-coding RNA is filed under the name Ananas comosus (pineapple). RNAcentral's name for it is "long non-coding RNA (ACOM_LNC023731)". Lineage: Eukaryota; Viridiplantae; Streptophyta; Magnoliopsida; Poales; Bromeliaceae. The record is from RNAcentral.
AUGAUAUCGAAAAAUUAUGAAAUUUAGUUUCUAAAAUACUUUCAAUAGUGUAGAUCAAAUCUAAUGGAGCCGAUCGUCGAUUUGGAAGCCGCAUCAUCAAAAACAACUUGGUAGCACGGAGCCCUCCGUGCUACCGAUAGUAUAGUAGCCAAGCAUUUGUGCUUGUAAAUUUUUUACCAUUAGAUCUACGCCUUUAAUCAUUUUUACCCGUUAGAUUAUACUAUUCAACCAAUCAACCAUCCACUCAACCCUAGGGGCCCCAUAUCAUCCAAACCGCACAUCCCUUAAUCCAAGGGCCGAAACUUACAAGCACCAAUGACUUGGUACUUUUAAAAGUAUAGGAGCUCAAUUCAUAUAUAUAUAUAUAUAUAUAUAUAUAGAAAGAGAGAGAGAGAGAGAGAGAGAGAGAGAGAGAGUCCGGAUACUAUACUUUUACGAGUAUUGGCUGCCUUAUAUUCAUAAGUUUUUGGCCCUUAGAUUAUUCCAUUGAUCAUUUUCACUCGUUAGAUCAUACUAUUCAACCAACUACGUACCAACUCAACCCUAGAAAACCACUAUCAUUCUAAGUGGGGACCACCAUCAUCCUAACCACACAUCCCAUCAAUCAACGGUUAAAAAUUUAUGAGUACAAAGGGGUCUAUACUCAUAAGAGUAUAGUAGGCCCAGCAUAUAUAUAUAUAGAGAGAGAGAGAGAGACAGAGACAGAGAGAGAGUGAGCUGGUAUGCUUCUGGAAGCACAGAACCUUCCGUGCUUCCAAGUCGUUUUCGAUGUUGGGACUUUCGAAUCGACGAUCGGCUCCGUUAAACUUGAUCUAGAGUAUUUAAAGUACUUAGAAAAUAAAUUUUGUGAUUUUUCGAUAUCAUUUGCCUAGUGAUCGAAUGGGCUCAAAAUCAAUAAUUUUAAUGACCUUGGUGAGCCAUUUGCAAGUUUAACGGUGUAGAAAUAUCCAAAUCACGUAAAAUGUUGAUAGAAAAUUCUUUAUACU